ACUCAAAUGAAUUGACGGGGGCCCGCACAAGCGGUGGAGCAUGUGGUUUAAUUCGAUGCAACGCGAAGAACCUUACCUGGUCUUGACAUCCACGGAAGAAUCCAGAGAUGGAUUUGUGCCUUCGGGAACCGUGAGACAGGUGCUGCAUGGCUGUCGUCAGCUCGUGUUGUGAAAUGUUGGGUUAAGUCCCGCAACGAGCGCAACCCUUAUCCUUUGUUGCCAGCGGUCCGGCCGGGAACUCAAAGGAGACUGCCAGUGAUAAACUGGAGGAAGGUGGGGAUGACGUCAAGUCAUCAUGGCCCUUACGACCAGGGCUACACACGUGCUACAAUGGCGCAUACAAAGAGAAGCGACCUCGCGAGAGCAAGCGGACCUCAUAAAGUGCGUCGUAGUCCGGAUUGGAGUCUGCAACUCGACUCCAUGAAGUCGGAAUCGCUAGUAAUCGUGGAUCAGAAUGCCACGGUGAAUACGUUCCCGGGCCUUGUACACACCGCCCGUCACACCAUGGGAGUGGGUUGCAAAAGAAGUAGGUAGCUUAACCUUCGGGAGGGCGCUUACCACUUUGUGAUUCAUGACUGGGGUGAAGUCGUAACAAGGUAACCGUAGGGGAACCUGCGGUUGGAUCACCUCCUUACCUGAAAGAAGC
This 646-nucleotide ribosomal RNA is filed under the name Salmonella enterica subsp. enterica. Its description in RNAcentral is "bacterial SSU rRNA". It matches the Rfam family "Bacterial small subunit ribosomal RNA", at positions 899 to 1533 of the family's 1533-position model. The record is from RNAcentral. Lineage: Bacteria; Pseudomonadati; Pseudomonadota; Gammaproteobacteria; Enterobacterales; Enterobacteriaceae.